Molecule: ribosomal RNA, 508 nt
Filed under: uncultured bacterium
Lineage: Bacteria
Description: bacterial SSU rRNA
Rfam family: Bacterial small subunit ribosomal RNA
Source: RNAcentral
UGGGGAAUCUUGGACAAUGGGGGCAACCCUGAUCCAGCCAUGCCGCGUGAGUGAUGAAGGCCUUAGGGUCGUAAAGCUCUUUCGCCUGUGAAGAUAAUGACGGUAGCAGGUAAAGAAACCCCGGCUAACUCCGUGCCAGCAGCCGCGGUAAUACGGAGGGGACUAGCGUUGUUCGGAAUUACUGGGCGUAAAGAGUUCGUAGGCGGACUAGCAAGUUAGAGGUGAAAUCCCAGGGCUCAAACCUUGGAACUGCCCUCCAAAAACUAUUGGUCUAGAGUUCGAGAGAGGUGAGUGGAAUUCCAAGUGUAGAGGUGAAAAUUCGUAGAUAUUUGGAGGAACACCAGUGGCGAAGGCGGCUCACUGGCUCGAUACUGACGCUGAGGUGCGAAAAGUGUGGGGGAGCAAACAGGAUUAGAUACCCUGGUAGUCCACACCGUAAAACGAUGAGUGCUAGUCGUCGGCAGGCAUGCCUGUCGGUGACGCAGCUAACGCAUUAAGCACUCCGCCU